Molecule: long non-coding RNA, 1076 nt
Organism: Ostrea edulis (European flat oyster)
Lineage: Eukaryota; Metazoa; Mollusca; Bivalvia; Ostreida; Ostreidae
Exons: 2
Source: RefSeq, a predicted model, not a curated record
AAUAUUCGGUCAAGUAUCAAUCUUGCAAAAGCAAUACUUACAUCUGGGUGGAGUAUACUGUGUAUUCUGCUCUUUGUUAAAAUGUCCAUGUAUAUUUGAAUACGCUAGUAUUACGGAAGACACCAUAACAUAAGGACAGUGCUUACACACCGUGUCCAUUCCAACAGAGCAUGUGACGACCGGGGUGUUGAUUUUUCACCACUUCGGCAGCGGACAAACUUCACAAAAUGGAUGAAGACAACGAAAUAGAAGCGGCAAACACAAGUUCAUGUUUCAACUAUAUAUGCCAGUUUUGUGCAAAAACAAUUAGACAUAAAUCCUCUCUACUAAGACACAUAUUAAUGCAUGAAAACAAGGAAUACGCCUGUGACCAAUGUCAAAAAACUUUUAAAUCCAAAAUUUACUUGUCGCAGCAUGUUAAACAGAAACACCAGGAGAGUCCAUCAGAGUUUAUUUGUCAACACUGUGGUAAGACAUUUAACAGUAAAGUAGCCAUUGCAAAUCAUGUUAAAUUUAAACACAAUGAUGGAGGACGAACGUGCAAUACUUGUGACAAAAAAUUCAAAGACAACUAUGCCUUGCAACGGCAUUUGAAAUCUCACGACAAUACUACAAAUCCAUGUCCAAAAUGUGGGAAAGAAUUCAAAGAUGUAAAAAAUCACGUCAAAGUGUGCGGGACAAAGAAACUGCCCAGGCAGUACUGCUGUGACCUUUGUGACAAAAUGUUUCUCUGCAAGCGCUACCUCAGGGGCCACUUGAAGAACAAACACAGAGGAGGAAAUUUUCACCCGUGUGCCUGUGGAAAAACAUUUUCAUAUAAAUGUUCAUUGAAAAGACAUCAGAAGAUAUGUACAUAUGAACACUGAUGCAUUUUUUGCUGAAUGUUUUGAAAUGUUUAUCAUACAUUCAUGGUGUUAUGUUUUGUUUUGAGGCAUUAGGAGUAAUAUCCAUUUUUUUAAAAACUUAUUUUUGUUUUUUAAUAUACGCAAAUGUUGAUGAUCUUGUAUUUGAAGCUAUUCGUUGCUGAAAACUUUUUUUUUAAAAAUUUUAUUUUAUUAAAUUGAUACCUACGUAUA